GGUUAACCGUAUAGGGGAGCCGGAGGGAAACCGAGUCUUAACCGGGCGUUAAGUUGCAGGGUAUAGACCCGAAACCCGGUGAUCUAGCCAUGGGCAGGUUGAAGGUUGGGUAACACUAACUGGAGGACCGAACCGACUAAUGUUGAAAAAUUAGCGGAUGACCUGUGGCUGGGGGUGAAAGGCCAAUCAAACCGGGAGAUAGCUGGUUCUCCCCGAAAGCUAUUUAGGUAGCGCCUCGUGAAUUCAUCUCCGGGGGUAGAGCACUGUUUCGGCUAGGGGGCCAUCCCGGCUUACCAACCCGAUGCAAACUGCGAAUACCGGAGAAUGUUAUCACGGGAGACACACGGCGGGUGCUAACGUCCGUCGUGAAGAGGGAAACAACCCAGACCGCCAGCUAAGGUCCCAAAGUCAUGGUUAAGUGGGAAACGAUGUGGGAAGGCCCAGACAGCCAGGAUGUUGGCUUAGAAGCAGCCAUCAUUUAAAGAAAGCGUAAUAGCUCACUGGUCGAGUCGGCCUGCGCGGAAGAUGUAACGGGGCUAAACCAUGCACCGAAGCUGCGGCAGCGAACGUAUCACCCAAGACAACUUUACGGAGUUGACGAUUGACGGAGCGAAGCGACGUCAAAGCGUUCAUUAAAGUCGAGUUGGCUUAGGGAUACGUUCGUUGGGUAGGGGAGCGUUCUGUAAGCCUGUGAAGGUGUGUCGUGAGGCAUGCUGGAGGUAUCAGAAG
This 729-nucleotide ribosomal RNA is filed under the name Salmonella enterica. RNAcentral's name for it is "partial 23S ribosomal RNA". It matches the Rfam family "Bacterial large subunit ribosomal RNA", at positions 644 to 1288 of the family's 2925-position model. Lineage: Bacteria; Pseudomonadati; Pseudomonadota; Gammaproteobacteria; Enterobacterales; Enterobacteriaceae. The record is from RNAcentral.